RNAcentral lists this ribosomal RNA (265 nucleotides) under uncultured bacterium. Its description in RNAcentral is "partial 16S ribosomal RNA". It matches the Rfam family "Bacterial small subunit ribosomal RNA", at positions 15 to 263 of the family's 1533-position model. The record is from RNAcentral.
GAUCCUGGCUCAGGAUGAACGCUGGCGGCGUGCUUAACACAUGCAAGUCGAACGAGAGGUGAAGACGGAAACCUUCGGGCGGAAGGCUUUACUUCGAGUGGCGGACGGGUGAGUAACGCGUGGGUAACCUGCCUCAUACAGGGGGAUAACAGUUGGAAACGACUGUUAAUACCGCAUAAGACCACAGCACCGCAUGGUGCGGGGGUAAAAACUCCGGUGGUAUGAGAUGGACCCGCGUUCGAUUAGCCAGUUGGCGGGGUAACGG